Hylaeus anthracinus is the source of this 3446-nucleotide long non-coding RNA. RefSeq lists it as uncharacterized. The record is from RefSeq and is a predicted model, not a curated record. The transcript is spliced from 7 exons. Lineage: Eukaryota; Metazoa; Arthropoda; Insecta; Hymenoptera; Colletidae.
GUGUCACCUCGCAACCGUAUGUCAACCACAUUUGAUUGAAACGGUUUGUAAUCAAUGAAAAAUUGACAUUUAAUGAUUAAAUAGUGAAUCUGUUCGAGUGACAGCGUGAUAUUACAAAAAAGAAAUCAACGAAUAACAGUUACUUUAUGAUAAGCACGAUAUUUAUUUUAAUAUAAAGUUUGUCGUACAAUAAUUUCAUCUAUUCCCACACGUGGUUUCUUAACCUAUCAAACUACUCACGAAGGGAUUCCAAACAACGUAUAGGCCCUUCAGUUUCGUACUGUUCCGGUCUCCCAACAAAUUAGAAUAAAAUACUACUCAAAGAAAUCUAGUACUCACAUAUUUUCGUAUCCUGUACCAGUUGAAUUUUGCGAAAAUACAUUGAUGUCAUGAUGACAUUGUCAUCACAACCUCGGAAGAACGGUAAUCAUCGCGAUAGGUAAGUUUCUACGGAUCUACGCGACGAAAAAUACCUCCCUGGCGCCAUCUCACGCAACGAAGUUUAAGCAGAACGACGAAAUCUUCUUUACCAGUGUUGCGGGUUCAGCCGGAAACUCAUAAAGCAGGAGAAAGAUUCGCAGCAAAGAAAUUCACAUCUGUAUUUGCGUACCCGCGUCACCGCGCUCGUGUCGGGAUAAAAAUCUCUCAAAGUCUUACGGGAUCAGGAAAAUGCACAUUCCGUGACAUUUCCUCAAUCUCCCGAGAACCGGGACGUUCGCGAUCGGUUCGCCGUGGCGAAGAUCCGCCGGAGGAUGUUCCGCCGGUCGGCGAGUUUUCCGCGGAAAUGAAAUAAAAAUGACGACGAAAUGCUCUCUUCCGAACAGGGGGGACGGAAGAUUCACUUAGGAAGGAACGAUCAUAUUCAGCACAAGUUAUCCUUCGCGAUACAUCCAUGGAGAACAAAAUGGAGUCAACCUCGCGGCCCCCUGCUCAAUGUUAAUGCUGGUACAGGGUAGAGGGAAUUGCUGGAGCCAUGGGGGCGGCCGUGUGUGCCAUUCAAAGUCGAUGAGUAGGCUGGUUAAUUGGGAGAACAACAUUUUAAGCGUAGCUAUGACGGGUGGCUUGGAGAAACGUCAGUCGCAUCGCGCUCACAACUGUAUCGUAUUUUCAUUAUCAUCAAAUUGGACACGUAGUACAGCCACGAAUUUUAACAAUGGCAGCCUCACCAUACUUGCCUACGUACGCCCGACACCCUUUAUACGGUUCCCCUUGCGGAAACGCGACGUCUCCAUGGUUACAACAUUGAAACCCCGCUAGGGGAUGACAAAAUGGAGAGGCGCAUUACUCGGUCUGACAAAGGCGAAGUAGAAUCGAAGAACUCCUUCGACUACGUACUUGCACUUGUAUUUGAAAAGUCGAGACGCGUAUACAACCCGGUUAGAGAGACUGGGAAAACCAGCCAGGAGAGGCCAAGUUCCAACAACUAGCCCUCUCUUCGUUGUUCAAUUCGUCCGGAACAAAUAGUUGAAGCACCAUUCAACUCCAUACUACGACGGUAGACAGUUUCCUCUCGUGUUAUUUCGAAUUUCGAUACGACGACCUGCCAUUCGUUGCCCAAAAACGGAGUAGAGAAAAAAAAGAAGUGAAACAAUGUCUACGGCUGCUCUAUAAACAAAGGAGGAUCGUCGAGCAAAAUGGCGACUCGAUGCACAGGCGUCUAAUCCCGGAUGAGACGACGGAUGUGACGGUGGCGGGUGGAGGAUGACGGUGACGAAGGUGGAAGCGGGAGGCGACGCAGACACAUCUCUCGGAUUACGUCUUAACAAGCUCCACGACGUUCAUUUGUCUUAUCCGCUCUCGCUAAUGCGACAGCAGCUGUUGAAAUGAUUAAUUCACCGCGAGGAUGCUCCUACGCCUUGUUCAGCGGUGCGCGGUCGCGCUUGUGCGCGCGCGCGUGCACGACCACACACCAACCUUCCAUUGUGAUCGUGGUCUCGAUUAAUCAACUCCCUUAUCGUUUCUAUAAAUACCGUCAAAUGUUUAAUUAAACGUCGCCCGCUAUGGCAUUCGUUCGACGCGAACUUGUCGCGCCUUGUUGUCUCGCGAGCGUCGACUUAACUCAUUUUUUUCUUGAGCUAUGCCAGUGCCUCGGAUAUUGAUAAAAUUGUAAUGAAAAAAUCCGACGAGAAGUUAUCUACUUCAGCUUCAUUUAUUUAUAAUUAACUUAUAAGUAUCUCCUGGUGUACCCAAACUUGGUACUCCAAAAACCACCUGUCCGCUAUCGAUCAAUUUUUAAUUCAUUCCUCGUAAUUUCGCAUCAGGCAUCGCGAGAACGAUAAUGUUUCCUAACGCUGUGUCAGGAACAAAGCCAGAGGAAACCUUACGAGAACCCUUUACGCUUAGUCAAAACAACGUUCAUGGCUCAGCACGAGAUCUGAUUGGAUUAACUUUCGAUUUCCAUUAACCACCUGUCAUCGACGGGGAGCAGGAUCGGUAAUUGUCACCGAUCGAUGACUAAUCCGCUCUGGAAUCGUUAGUAUUCGCUGCGCAGUGGCGCUAACUGACUCGAUUAUAGCCCCGAGCCCGCGAGAACAAAGGACCACCAACGCGACAAUUGAACUUCAUCGUGCUGAUAUAAAGUUACAAAUCUGAAGGGAGAAAAUGAGAGGCGAAUAUUAAGUCGGCGUACAAAAUGGCCGUCACGAGGCGCGAAAAAAAAUAGGGAUGCGAUCGUUCCUCUUGCUUCCAUGCACCACAUGCUGGUUCACGGAGUACGGUGCGCGUGGGGCAAGAGUGGUAACGCGUUGCGCAGACGCCAAGUUGUACGGAUCGAAGCUCCGCCCGGAGACUGCCUUUGUUUAAUCCACUGCACCUACGCCCACGACAUGUGGCCAACAAACUACGAAUUGUCUCACGGCGGGAUCCUAAUCUUGCGGUGCUAUAUGCUACAGAUGACAGAAAGCACGCUGCGAGGAGGAACUCGAUGACGCGAAGUAUUCCUGAAAGUCUGAAGGUACUUUUGGCUUGAGAACUUAAACCAAUGGCAAGCGAUGCCACUGCAAACGUGGAAAUUAAGAGACCAACGAUUAUUAGGAUAAAAAUUAAAAUAGCAAAUUGUAUAAUGUGUAUUCAGAAUGUUUCGUUUGUAUUUGAUAUAUACAGUUAUGGAAGAUAUCUGACAAUAGGUGUAUGAAUACAGUAUAUAUAUGCUGAAAUAUAUGUUAUGAAAUAUUGUAUGAUAUCUGGUAGCGUGGCCGAGCGGUCUAAGGCGCUGGUUUAAGGCACCAGUCUCUUCGGGGGCGUGGGUUCGAAUCCCACCGCUGCCAAUUUUUUUUGUACCCUCAAAUUGUUAUGUGUUUAAAUCAAAGUGAUGUCUAAUCUAUUUUUAACAUUGAACAUUACAGCAAUUGUAUAAUAUACUAAUACUCAAUAAUGGUAGAUCAAUUACAUGUACGACUGGAGCACUAAGUGACAUUACUUAAACUUUAUAAUAAGUUAUCAAUACA